GAUGAACGCUGGCGGCGUGCCUAAUACAUGCAAGUCGAGCGAACAGACGAGGAGCUUGCUCCUCUGACGUUAGCGGCGGACGGGUGAGUAACACGUGGAUAACCUACCUAUAAGACUGGGAUAACUUCGGGAAACCGGAGCUAAUACCGGAUAAUAUAUUGAACCGCAUGGUUCAAUAGUGAAAGACGGUUUUGCUGUCACUUAGAGAUGGAACCGCGCCGCAUUAGCUAGUUGGUAAGGUAACGGCUUACCAAGGCAACGAUGCGUAGCCGACCUGAGAGGGUGAUCGGCCACACUGGAACUGAGACACGGUCCAGACUCCUACGGGAGGCAGCAGUAGGGAAUCUUCCGCAAUGGGCGAAAGCCUGACGGAGCAACGCCGCGUGAGUGAUGAAGGUCUUCGGAUCGUAAAACUCUGUUAUUAGGGAAGAACAAAUGUGUAAGUAACUAUGCACGUCUUGACGGUACCUAAUCAGAAAGCCACGGCUAACUACGUG
This 497-nucleotide ribosomal RNA is filed under the name uncultured bacterium. Its description in RNAcentral is "partial 16S ribosomal RNA". It matches the Rfam family "Bacterial small subunit ribosomal RNA", at positions 28 to 507 of the family's 1533-position model. The record is from RNAcentral.